UUUCCUUUACACGCUCAGCA
This 20-nucleotide unclassified non-coding RNA is filed under the name Mus musculus (house mouse). RNAcentral describes it as "oocyte_clustered_small_RNA5060". Lineage: Eukaryota; Metazoa; Chordata; Mammalia; Rodentia; Muridae. The record is from RNAcentral.